GACGAACGCUGGCGGCGUGCUUAACACAUGCAAGUCGAACGAGAAUCUACUGAAAGAGUUUUCGGACAAUGGAUGUAGAGGAAAGUGGCGGACGGGUGAGUAACGCGUGAGGAACCUGCCUUGAAGAGGGGGACAACAGUUGGAAACGACUGCUAAUACCGCAUGACGCAUAGGGGUCGCAUGAUCUUUAUGCCAAAGAUUUAUCGCUUCAAGAUGGCCUCGCGUCUGAUUAGCUGGUUGGCGGGGUAACGGCCCACCAAGGCGACGAUCAGUAGCCGGACUGAGAGGUUGAACGGCCACAUUGGGACUGAGAUACGGCCCAGACUCCUACGGGAGGCAGCAGUGGGGAAUAUUGGGCAAUGGGCGCAAGCCUGACCCAGCAACGCCGCGUGAAGGAAGAAGGCUUUCGGGUUGUAAACUUCUUUUAAGAGGGAAGAGGAGAAGACGGUACCUCUAGAAUAAGCCACGGCUAACUACGUGCCAGCAGCCGCGGUAAUACGUAGGUGGCAAGCGUUGUCCGGAUUUACUGGGUGUAAAGGGCGUGCAGCCGGGUCUGCAAGUCAGAUGUGAAAUCCAUGGGCUCAACCCAUGAACUGCAUUUGAAACUGUAGAUCUUGAGUGUCGGAGGGGCAAUCGGAAUUCCUAGUGUAGCGGUGAAAUGCGUAGAUAUUAGGAGGAACACCAGUGGCGAAGGCGGAUUGCUGGAC
RNAcentral lists this ribosomal RNA (707 nucleotides) under uncultured Lachnospiraceae bacterium. RNAcentral's name for it is "bacterial SSU rRNA". It matches the Rfam family "Bacterial small subunit ribosomal RNA", at positions 28 to 734 of the family's 1533-position model. Lineage: Bacteria; Bacillati; Bacillota; Clostridia; Lachnospirales; Lachnospiraceae. The record is from RNAcentral.